GAUGAACGCUGGCGGCGUGCCUAAUACAUGCAAGUCGAGCGAACGGACGAGAAUCUUGCUUCUCUGAUGUUAGCGGCGGAUGGGUGAGUAACACGUGGAUAGCCUAUCUAUAAGACUUGGAUAACUUCGGGAAACCGUAGCUAAUAACGGAUAAUAUUUUGAACCGCUUGGUUCAAAAGUGCUAGACGGUUUUGCUGUCACUUAUAGAUGUAUCCGCGCUGCAUUAGCUAGUUGGUAAGGUAACGGCUUACCAAGGCAACGAUGCAUAGCCGACCUGAGAGGGUGAUCGGCCACGCUGGAACUGAGACACGAUCCAGACUCCUACGGGAGGCACCAGUAGGGAAUCUUCCGCGAUGGGCGAAAGCCUGACGGAGCAACGCCGCGUGAGUGAUGAAGGGCUUCGGAUCGUAGAACUCUGUUAUUAGGGAAAAACAUAUGUGUACGUAACGGUGCGCUUCUUGACGGUACCUGAUCAAAAAGCCACGGCUAACUACGUG
RNAcentral lists this ribosomal RNA (497 nucleotides) under uncultured bacterium. Its description in RNAcentral is "partial 16S ribosomal RNA". It matches the Rfam family "Bacterial small subunit ribosomal RNA", at positions 28 to 507 of the family's 1533-position model. The record is from RNAcentral.